AUGAAUUUGCCUGGUAUGUUGCUGGUGCUGUUCUGGAUUUCAGCUUCCAGAGGUGAUGUUGUGAUGACACAAACUCCAGUCUCCCUGCCUGUCAGCCUUGGAGAUCAAGCCUCUAUCUCUUGCAGGUCUAGUCAGAGCGUUGCACACAGUAAUGGAAAUACCUAUUUGAAAUGGUUACUGCAGAAGCCAGGCCAAUCUCCUCGGCUCCUCAUCUAUGAGAUUUCCAACCGAUUUUCUGGGGUCCCAGACAGGUUCAGUGGCAGUGGUUCAGGGACAGAUUUCACACUCAAGAUCAGCAGAGUGGAGCUUGAGGAUCUGGGUGUUUAUUACUGCAUCCAAUCUACACAUACUUUUCUCGGUGUGUCAAAAAUAGAAGCAGAAAGUUCUAGGUUAACCUUAUGA
Mus pahari (shrew mouse) is the source of this 402-nucleotide non-coding RNA. The record is from the annotation of a RefSeq genome assembly. NCBI's taxonomy places the organism in Eukaryota, Metazoa, Chordata, Mammalia, Rodentia, Muridae.